RNAcentral lists this ribosomal RNA (490 nucleotides) under uncultured bacterium. RNAcentral describes it as "partial 16S ribosomal RNA". It matches the Rfam family "Bacterial small subunit ribosomal RNA", at positions 30 to 507 of the family's 1533-position model. The record is from RNAcentral.
AUUGAACGCUGGCGGCAUGCUUUACACAUGCAAGUCGAACGGCAGCGGGGUAGUGCUUGCACUACUGCCGGCGAGUGGCGAACGGGUGAGUAAUAUAUCGGAACGUACCGAGUAAUGGGGGAUAACCAAUCGAAAGAUUGGCUAAUACCGCAUACGUCCUGAGGGAGAAAGCGGGGGAUCGCAAGACCUCGCGUUAUUCGAGCGGCCGAUAACUGAUUAGCUAGUUGGUGGGGUAAAGGCCUACCAAGGCGACGAUCAGUAGCGGGCCUGAGAGGACGAUCCGCCACACUGGGACUGAGACACGGCCCAGACUCCUACGGGAGGCAGCAGUGGGGAAUUUUGGACAAUGGGGGCAACCCUGAUCCAGCCAUGCCGCGUGUAUGAAGAAGGCCUUCGGGUUGUAAAGUACUUUUGUUAGGGAAGAAAAGGGAAGUGCUAAUACCACUUUUUGCUGACGGUACCUAAAGAAUAAGCACCGGCUAACUACGUG